Scylla paramamosain (green mud crab) is the source of this 2541-nucleotide RNA transcript. It is a transcript of the gene named cytochrome P450 4C1-like, with no coding region annotated. NCBI's taxonomy places the organism in Eukaryota, Metazoa, Arthropoda, Malacostraca, Decapoda, Portunidae. The record is from RefSeq and is a predicted model, not a curated record. The transcript has 12 exons.
AUGGUGCCACCUGCCCCUGGUCGCUACCCAGUUGCGAGUGCGCCAUCCUGCCGCACGGACCCACGCCCUCUCCCUGUUGAAGGCUGAAGGGCGCCAUCCACACCAGCCUUGUGACGACAAACUACUUGCUCGGGCCUCUGUAUGACCAGGAAGAGGGAGGUGAUUUAAGGCGGCGACAUGACGUGGCUGAGGAACAGGGCGGAGUGGCUGGCAGACCAUGAGGUGGGCGCUACGCUAAUGAACAUCAUCCUCGCUCUCGUACUGGCCGUGGGCAUCUCAUGGUUCAUUAAGAGGCGUCGUAAGGUGUGGCUGCUGAACCAACUUCCGGGUCCCAAGGGCGUCCCCAUCUUGGGUUCGGCUCUCGAGGUGAACUGUGAUAACGUGGAACUCUUCCGCCUGAUCGACUCAUACUGCGACAUGGGCGAGGUGGUGCGAGUGUGGUUUGGCUAUUACCCGGUGGUGAUACUGACCAGCCCGCGGGCCUUCGAGGCCUUGCUGAGCAGCCAGAAACACUUAGACAAGAGUACUGACUACGAGUACCUUCUUCCCUGGCUGGGCACUGGCCUACUCACUUCCACGGGCAGUAAGUGGCACUCUCGCCGUAAGCUGCUCACUCCAGCCUUCCACUUCAGCAUCUUGGACAACUUUGUGGACGUGUUCAACAGACAGAGCAGCAAGAUGGUCAGCAAGCUGAGGGACAAUGCCAAUGGGGAGGCCUUUGAUAUCUUUCCCUUCAUCACCCUCUGCACUCUGGACAUCAUAUGCGAGGCCGCGAUGGGACGAUGUGUGAACGCUCAGGACAGAGAGGACUCAGAGUAUGUCCGCGCGGUGAAGAGGAUCAAUUACUUAAUUCAGCGGAGGAUAAUGAUAGUGUGGCAGCAACCAGACUUCAUGUUUCGCCUGCUGGGCAUCAAGAAGGAGCAGGACGCGUGCCUGGCCGUGCUGCACAGUUUCACGCGGGACGUCAUCAGGGAGCGGCGGGAGCUGCACCGCGAGACCAAGGCAAGGGAACAGCAGCAGGAGCACUCGGAGGAAGAGCGGCUAUUGGGCAAAGGAAAGCGGCGCCUUGCCUUCCUGGACCUGCUGCUGGAGGCCUCGGAGGACGGCAAGGUUCUCUCUGACGAGGACAUUAGGGAGGAGGUGGAUACGUUCAUGUUCAGGGGACAUGACACCACCUCCAGCGGAAUCAACUGGGCCCUGUACCUGAUGGGACGCCACCCAGAGGAACAGGCACGGGUACAGGAGGAGCUGGACAGUAUCUUCGGGGACAGUGAUCGGCCAGUCACCAUGGAGGACCUGAGGCAAAUGAAGUAUACCGAGAACUGCAUCAAGGAGUCCCUCAGGCUGCUUCCCUCCGUCCCCUUCAUCGGCAGGAAGCUGAAAGAAGACAUCGUUAUCAGUGAGACACGGAAUACUUUUGUUUCCUGAUAAAGAGAAUGCAUUAUGGCGAUAUAUGUUGUAUAAAGGACGAUCUCUCUCUCUCUCUCUCUCUCUCUCUCUCUCUCUCUCUCUCUCUCUCUCUCUCUCUCUCUCUCUCUCUCUCUCUCUCUCACAUAUGCCUAUGCUGACUUGUUAGGUGAUCGGACGCCGGACGGUGACAUAAUGAACUACAAACAAAGGCUGGAAACGGGAUCUUCUUGGGAACGAAUGUUAAUCAUUAGAUUCCUUGCCGCUCUCUUCAUAUAUUCACAGGCAGGAGGAACUGUAUGAGAAAUAAUACGGAAUGAAUAAUUUCUAUGAACAUAAACUAACAUCUACAUUGAUAAAAUAGUAGCUCAGAUAACAAGACUGGAAGAGGAUACAGACAGAGUCGAGCAUAACCUGAAAUACGCAUCAGGUGUAAUACCGAGAAGUCUAUACAUCAGCCCGCCUCGCCUUCAAAAUGUUCAAGUUUUCUGAGAUGGCGCUCCUGUCGUUCCCACUUGAAUCUCGCGCGGCACGUGUGGUGAGCGCAUGAGAUGCUGGGACAGGCGUCAUUCAACCGGCGGCGAGCUUGCAGGUGAAAGAUAACCAGCGCAUCCCGGGAGGCGUCAAUUUCUCCCUGGCAAUAUACAAGCUGCACCGGAAUCCUGAGCAGUUUCCUGACCCUGAGAAAUUUGAUCCCGACCGCUUCCUGCCCGAGAACGCAGCCAAGCGUCAUCCUUAUGCCUAUGUACCCUUCAGCGCCGGGCCCAGGAACUGUAUAGGUCAAAAGUUCGCUCUGCUGGAGGAGAAGGUAGUGGUGAGCAGUGUAUUGCGUAACUUCCGGGUGGUAAGUGACAUCCCAGAGACUGACCUCAAGCUGACGGGCGAGCUGAUACUGCGACCCCGCGGUGGCAACCCCAUCAAGCUGCUGCCCCGCCGCUCCUGAGCCAAGCGUUCCGCCCAUCUGUGGCUUUGUGCCUCCUGCAGCAUUCACGCCACGCUACCUGGGCUUGAUGCUGCUGCAGGUGUCCGAAAUGGUCUUUAUGUUGCAUUGCUGAUGCUUACUAAUUUCAUGACUGCUAAGAAAAAAAAAAAUCAGUAUUUUCAAGUGCUUACAAUAAAAUUAUAAUCUAAAAA